GCCUGGCUAGCUCAACUGGUAGAGCAUGGCAUUAACAUUGCUAGGGUUCGAUUCCCACUGGGACCA
This is a non-coding RNA of Merluccius polli (Benguela hake), 66 nucleotides long. The record is from the annotation of a GenBank genome assembly. Lineage: Eukaryota; Metazoa; Chordata; Actinopteri; Gadiformes; Merlucciidae.